This is a long non-coding RNA of Anopheles gambiae (African malaria mosquito), 1502 nucleotides long. RefSeq lists it as uncharacterized. The record is from RefSeq and is a predicted model, not a curated record. NCBI's taxonomy places the organism in Eukaryota, Metazoa, Arthropoda, Insecta, Diptera, Culicidae. The transcript has 3 exons.
CAAAACUUGUUACCAUCAAAGAAGCGUUUUCUGAAGCGUUUGGCAGCUGUCAGUUGUUAUGUUGCGCUCCGUGUUAUGCUGUGUGGAGUCCUGCGGUGACAGAUAAAGAAUCACAGCAACCUGCUGAUGUGCAAUGUAAACAAAUAACGUGCACAAAAUCGUAAUUAAAUCCAUUAAAUAACUUCAAUAUCGAAUACUUUGAAUUUUCAGUCAACAGUUCAUAAUUUCUUCCAAUUAGGGAAUGUUCUGCUUAAGAAGAUAUUAUUUUAAUAGAAUUUCGAAAGCGGAUGUUGUGUCUCCCCCAACCCUUUCUCUUCUAGGUGUCCAAACAUUUCUCUUCCUAGGUGUCCAAAGACGCUACUGACGACUCCGAAACGGGAGGAGAGACUAUUUACGGCCGUGGGAGAAGGGCAGCAUUAGUACCAAGGAAUGCAAAGCUCUCUUCAACAAUUUUAGCGAUAUGUGCCGUCGCUCGUAAGAUUGAUUGGAGCUUACAUCGCGGUAGCCUGCCUUUACUGGAUGAUAUAAACCAAAUACUGGUUCAUGAAACUAAUAUCAAGGGAGCGAUAAUCGACAUCCGCCUAGAAGUUUUUGUAGCACACACACGCCACUCCGUGCGUUUAUCAAAGGAAUAACGAAUGCUACUAGACUGGAAGCAUCGAUUAUGGACAAUAGAGUCGGAGCUUCACAAAAAUCGGAAGCAGUUCCGGACAAAAGGUGCACAUUUAAAAGUCCGAACCGUUCAAAGUUGUCGAAAUCGUCGAUGCCGUCGGAAACGUCCGAAGCCGUUCCUUGUCCUUCGAGCCGUCGGAAGCACCAGAAUGGUCGAAAUAGUCGGAGCCUUCAAGAGCCGGCUCUGGCUGUCUAGUAGCGGCUCCGGACAACUCAAGACAGCUCCAAAGGCCAAAAGGUCUAGACUAGAAUAUACCGUCUUCCCUUAGUAGUCUCCCUUAGUGUUAGGACUAACAAUUCGGCAUCGUGGUGCUGUAUAAGCCUCGGAAGCCUAUAUAGGCCGGCACGUCCGCGUAAGACAUUAGACCAAGUAGAAGAUACAAUUAGCAAUAUAAAGAUAUGUAAAGAAAAACGACGAGAUGAUUUAGGCAAACUAAAAUGUGUUGUAAGAAAGAGUUAGUUUUUAACACAGGACGAUCAGAUAGUUAGGCGCAUUAUGCUACGGAAGUGUUAUCAGAAUCAUUUUAUACAAUGACAACUGUUGUAGGUAAAAACGGCUUUUAAUAAACCAUAUAGCUCAGCUGUUAUUUACAAUUGUACAUAUUGGAAAGAAGAAUAAUUACAGGAAGUAAUAAAGGGGGUUUCAAUUCCAAUUGUUAUUUUCCCCCUUAACUAAAUUGUUCCUAAUUUUUUUUUAAUUUUUUAAGUGAAUGAUUAGUCUUUUUCCAAGUUUUACUUACGUUUGUUUCAAAAGUUAUAUACUUUUUUCAAUUGUUUUGCUUGUUGUAUAAAAAUAUAUGUUGACGAUCUAUAAAAUAUGCUCAUCGUGU